Molecule: ribosomal RNA, 253 nt
Filed under: uncultured bacterium
Lineage: Bacteria
Description: partial 16S ribosomal RNA
Rfam family: Archaeal small subunit ribosomal RNA
Source: RNAcentral
UACCCGCAGCACAAGUGGUGGUCAUUAUUAUUGGGCCUAAAGCGUCCGUAGCUGGCUUGUUAGAUGCCUGGGUAAAUCGAUGCGCUCAACGUAUCGAACUCCGGGUAGACCGGCAAGCUUGGGACCGGGAGAGGCGUGAGCUACUCGAGGGGUAGGGGUAAAAUCCUGUAAUCCUUCGGGGAGGACCAGUGGCGAAGGCGUCACGCUAGAACGGCUCCGACAGUGAGGGACGAAGCCCUGGGGCGCAAACCGG